ACGGACUCUGAUUCACCAUUUAGAGAGGACUCACUGGUUUUCUCUUCCUGGGCCGUGCGUGCAAAGAAGCACCUGCCUUGCCUCCUUCCCUCCUUUGCCUGUCCAAAGGUGAAUGAUAUGAGUCGGGCAGUGUGCAUGUCUUCCCAGAAGAAAAAAUGAGGCUCAGAUGUGACUCGGUGUCCCCGUUCCAGGAAGGUGCAGAGUGCUGACAGCCACGCCCUGGAGCUUGCGCUUGCCAGUGCUUACUCUCAGAACUGACUCCUGAGGGAAGGCAAGUGUUUGAAUUGACUUUCUCCAAGGUUCUCACUCUUAGGAAGAUGCAGGUGGAGUUAUCUGUGAUUCUCCCUGUAGGUCAGUGUCUCUGGGAUGCCUUCCCCUUCCUUGACCUCCAUGGGGCCUUCCUCAGCUGAUCACUCACUGUUCCUGCCUCCCAGCCGAUGGCUCUGAUUCUCAAUGGCUUCUGCAUAGUGAAUGCUGUCAGGCAAUCUUCCUGGAUAUCUCCUUCACGACGUUGCUCCUUCUGCCUGAGAAUCUGUAACGAGCACGGAAGGUCUCUGGAUGUUGUGGGGACAUGCUGGGUUGUUCUGAUGGGCCUUUUGGGGGCUCCUGUCCGGUGCCCCGGGAAUGUCUGUGUGGGAGGACUUGGUGUGGCAAUCUGGUUGGAAGGGAGGGGUUACUGUUGUAGAAAGCACACCAUCUUUACCUCCUGCGUCGUCAUAAAGCCAUGAAAAGAGUAAAA
Molecule: long non-coding RNA, 739 nt
Filed under: Homo sapiens (human)
Lineage: Eukaryota; Metazoa; Chordata; Mammalia; Primates; Hominidae
Description: lncRNA associated with SART3 regulation of splicing
Source: RNAcentral